AUUUGAAAUCUGGCGGCUCUGCCGUCCGAGUUGUAUUCUGGAGAAGCGUCUUCCGCGCCGGACCGUGUACAAGUGCCUUGGAACAGGACGUCAUAGAGGGUGAGAAUCCCGUCUUUGACACGGACCCCCGGCGCUCUGCGAUGCGCUCUCGAAGAGUCGAGUUGUUUGGGAAUGCAGCUCAAAACGGGUGGUAAAUUCCAUCUAAAGCUAAAUAUUGGCGAGAGACCGAUAGCGAACAAGUACCGUGAGGGAAAGAUGAAAAGCACUUUGGAAAGAGAGUAAAACAGUACGUGAAAUUGUUGAAAGGGAAACGCUUGAAGUCAGUCGCGUCUGCCGGAACUCAGCCUCGCUUCUGCUUGGCGCACUUUCCGGUCCGACGGGCCAGCAUCGGUUUCGCGCGGCGGACACUGGCGGGGGGAAGGUGGCGGCUCCGGCCGCGUUAUAGCCUCUCGCCGCGAACGUCGCUCGGGACCGAGGAAUCCGGCGCGAGCCUGGGAUGCUGGCGUAAUGGCUUUAAACGACCCGUCUUGAAACACGGACCAAGGAGUGCUACGUGCUCGCGAGUGUUCGGGUGGAAAACCCGGGCGCGCAAUGAAAGUGAAAGUCGAUACCCCUCGCGGGGGCACCGACGCCCGAGCCCGAUGUUUUCGGACGGCCUUGCGGUAGAGCGAGUGCGUUGCGACCCGAAAGAUGGUGAACUAUUCCUGAGGAGGGCGAAGCCAGAGGAAACUCUGGUGGAGGCUCGUAGCGGUUCUGACGUGCAAAUCGAUCGC
Molecule: ribosomal RNA, 773 nt
Filed under: Scytinopogon sp.
Lineage: Eukaryota; Fungi; Basidiomycota; Agaricomycetes; Trechisporales; Hydnodontaceae
Description: partial large subunit ribosomal RNA
Rfam family: Eukaryotic large subunit ribosomal RNA
Source: RNAcentral